GCGAGUCAGUCUCGUCAUUAUUAAGUUAAUUAAGAAAUAUUGUUUGUUACAAUUUUCUGCACACUUUUUGGUACGGAAACUUUUAUUUAAUUUAUACGCUUUCUCGUUCAACAGUUUCUUCGAAUUGUCAUAACGUUUUCUUUUCAAUUCAAACACAAACAGAAUUUUAAUAAAAAUAACAAAUUAUUUAUUAAAACCAUGCCUAACUACAGAAGAGCGUCAUGCGAUAUCAUUUGGGUAAUGUCAAGUAAGUAAUAAAGAUCGGUUGUCCAAUCAUUGUCUUCUCCAUUCUCGCUAAAACUAAUGAAGACGGUCAGAAGGGGGUAUUCGGGGGAAGAAGAAUCUUCGGUAGAAGCUGUGUAUAAGCUGCAAUUCAGGAGGUGUCACAUAACUAGACUUAAUCUCUUUUCAUUGCUCUGCAGAUCUAUGUGCUGUUUGUUCCGCCAGAACCGACUAGGAAGUCUAUUAUCUCUGUCCAGAACCAACUUCCUAAAGAGAUUGUUCGUUCGACAUUUUGUUCUUCUUCAAUUCUUUCUAGCUUUCUUUACCGAAAAAGUUUUCCCUUUUUUUAUAAUCUUUCUUCCUGACACAGAAUGAGAAUUGAUUCUCUUAUCUCCUUCGACAAUCUGACAUUGCUCUAAUAAAAGCAGUUUAGAAAAUAAUUUGCCACGUUUUCAAAAAGUAAAAAAAAAGAAAUUUUUGAUCUUUUGUAUAUCGAAACGACAUUUGCAAGUGGU
RNAcentral lists this long non-coding RNA (737 nucleotides) under Androctonus crassicauda. Lineage: Eukaryota; Metazoa; Arthropoda; Arachnida; Scorpiones; Buthidae. The record is from RNAcentral.